RNAcentral lists this ribosomal RNA (429 nucleotides) under Acidobacteriota bacterium. RNAcentral describes it as "Acidobacteria bacterium partial 16S ribosomal RNA". It matches the Rfam family "Bacterial small subunit ribosomal RNA", at positions 355 to 776 of the family's 1533-position model. Lineage: Bacteria; Pseudomonadati; Acidobacteriota. The record is from RNAcentral.
UGGGGAAUUUUGGACAAUGGGGGAAACCCUGAUCCAGCCAUCCCGCGUGUGCGAUGAAGGCCUUCGGGUUGUAAAGCACUUUUGGCAGGAAAGAAACGUCAUGGGUUAAUACCCCGUGAAACUGACGGUACCUGCAGAAUAAGCACCGGCUAACUACGUGCCAGCAGCCGCGGUAAUACGUAGGGUGCAAGCGUUAAUCGGAAUUACUGGGCGUAAAGCGUGCGCAGGCGGUUCGGAAAGAAAGAUGUGAAAUCCCAGAGCUCAACUUUGGAACUGCAUUUUUAACUACCGGGCUAGAGUGUGUCAGAGGGAGGUGGAAUUCCGCGUGUAGCAGUGAAAUGCGUAGAUAUGCGGAUGAACACCGAUGGCGAAGGCAGCCUCCUGGGAUAACACUGACGCUCAUGCACGAAAGCGUGGGGAGCAAACAGG